ACGCUCGACACCUACGGGAGGUAGCAGUUGGGAAUAUUGGACAAUGGAGGAAACUCUGAUCCAGUGACGCCGCGUGAAGGAAGAAGGUCUUCGGAUUGUAAACUUAUUUUGUCAGGGAAGAAAAAAUGACUGUACCUGAAGAAAAAGCACCGGCUAACUACGUGCCAGCAGCCGCGGUAAUCUGAGCGGGCUGGCAAGGC
This 200-nucleotide ribosomal RNA is filed under the name uncultured bacterium. RNAcentral describes it as "partial 16S ribosomal RNA". It matches the Rfam family "Bacterial small subunit ribosomal RNA", at positions 328 to 539 of the family's 1533-position model. The record is from RNAcentral.